Siniperca chuatsi (mandarin fish) is the source of this 939-nucleotide long non-coding RNA. RefSeq lists it as uncharacterized. NCBI's taxonomy places the organism in Eukaryota, Metazoa, Chordata, Actinopteri, Centrarchiformes, Sinipercidae. The transcript has 3 exons. The record is from RefSeq and is a predicted model, not a curated record.
AAUAGGUUUGCAAAGUGAAAAAGCCCAAAGUCCACCUCAAAAGGAGUUACCCUCUCCCACAGAAAACACUGAUCCUGAACUGACUGAAAACAGCUCAGUUGUAGCCUUUACUUCUGUAACAUAUCUACGUCAUUAUGUAACACGUGUCAUAAUGCACACCUUGUGGGUAGUGUGGCACGCCCUCAAACCCACCUACUUAGACCAGAAGCCGGAAGAAUUCAGUUUGUGGUAUCGCCAUGUCUAGGGGAAAUUUCCUUUGUAUUGUCUUCCAAAGGAUGAUGAAUUGAAUUGAAUUUUUUUUAACACUUUUCCUCAGGACUACAACCCCAACCUUUUUUUGUGCUCACUUCAUUUUACCAAGGGCUGCUAUGUGAACCGGCAACAGUUCGAUUCAAGAUUUUCUAAAUGCUUACUCCUGAAAGACGAUGCAGUUCCGACUCUGUUUGGCCAAUCUGGAGAUUCAGAAUCACAACCUGAAUAUUUUGGAGGCAUACUUGGAAAGAUAUAGAAAACUUCUGCUGGGCCAACACACAGAGAGCUCUCCAAAUCCCUGUGACCUCUACUGCUACAUGGGGCUAAAGGUUUAAAGAGAACUGGAGAUAAUUUGAUCUGAGAGUGGUUCACCUGGGGGAGCUGGCUGUUCUGACUGUAGGAGGAUUUGGGACUGGCUCUAAGGCAAGUUCAGCAGAACACACAAACUCUUAUUAAACUUCCUGUUUUCACCAAGUGAGAGCACGCACAUGCAUGUGCUGGCACACACAGACACACACACACACACAAAUGUAGCAUUUAACUGGCCGCAAUCAUUGCUUGGCUGUAACAUAAAGCCCCCUGCUCAUACUUCAAGGUCAAAUGAGUAAACAAGGAAUAUCUAUCACAUAAACAACAUGGACAUGAUGGGUUCUUGAUCAGACCAUUUUCUUAUCAAUUUAGUUACCA